Molecule: ribosomal RNA, 1016 nt
Filed under: uncultured fungus
Lineage: Eukaryota; Fungi
Description: eukaryotic LSU rRNA
Rfam family: Eukaryotic large subunit ribosomal RNA (bases 358-1016)
Source: RNAcentral
AUCGAUGAAGAACGCAGCGAAAUGCGAUAAGUAAUGUGAAUUGCAGAAUUCAGUGAAUCAUCGAAUCUUUGAACGCACCUUGCGCUCCUUGGUAUUCCUCGGAGCAUGCCUGUUUGAGUAUCAUGAAAUUAUCAAAAUAAAUCUUUUGUUAACUCGAUUGAUUUUAUUUUGGACUUGGAGGUCUGCAGAUUCACGUCUGCUCCUCUUAAAUUCAUUAGCUGGAUCUCUGUGAACUCGGUUCCACUCGGCGUGAUAAGUAUCACUCGCUGAGGACACUCGUAAAAAAGGUGGCCGGGAUUAGCAGUUUAGAACCGCUUCUAAUAGUCCAUUGACUUGGACAAAAUUAAAUUUAUGAUCUGAUCUCAAAUCAGGUAGGACUACCCGCUGAACUUAAGCAUAUCAAUAAGCGGAGGAAAAGAAACUAACAAGGAUUCCCCUAGUAACGGCGAGUGAAGCGGGAAGAGCUCAAAUUUAAAAUCUGGCGGUUAUGCCGUCCGAGUUGUAGUCUAGAGAAGCAUCAUCUACGCUGGACCAUGUACAAGUCUCUUGGAACAGAGCGUCAUAGAGGGUGAGAAUCCCGUCCUUGACAUGGACUCCCAGUGUUCUGUGUUGUGCUCUCAACGAGUCGAGUUGUUUGGGAAUGCAGCUCAAAAUGGGUGGUAAAUUCCAUCUAAAGCUAAAUAUUGGCGAGAGACCGAUAGCGAACAAGUACCGUGAGGGAAAGAUGAAAAGCACUUUGGAGAGAGAGUUAAACAGUACGUGAAAUUGUUGAAAUGGAAACGCUUGAAGUCAGUCGCGUUCUCUGGGAUUCAGCCUUGCUUUUGCUUGGUGCAUUUCCUAGUCUACGGGCCAGCAUGGAUUUUGACCGUUGGAAAAGGGCUGGGGGAAUGUGGCACCUUCGGGUGUGUUAUAGCCCCCUGUCGCAUGCAUCGGUUGGGAUCGAGGACCUCAGUGCACGCUUCGGUUGUGCUUUGAUGCUGGCGUAAUGGCUUUAAACGACCCGUCUUGAAACACGG